ACUGAACAGAUUAUGAGAAAACAGCAUUAAGAAUAUGAGUUGGCAAAAUGGCUGUGUGCUAAACUUCAGUUUGAGAAACCAGAUUUUAUUGCAGAUUCCAGAUUUUCAGAAGGGAUUCGGGCUGGGUCUGUUGAAACCAUGCUUCAAUCAAUUAAUGGAUCCCAUCAAAGUUGCUAUUGAUCUUGUAGAGCAGUGUUUCCCAAACUUUCAACAUCUGUAUACCCCUUCUAUAAUUUCUGUAACACUGAGUACCCCUCAUCAAAAAAAAAUUGCAUAUACUUUAAUAACAAUCAAAACAUAUUUAUUUUUUCCUUUUUUAAUAC
This 323-nucleotide long non-coding RNA is filed under the name Androctonus crassicauda. The record is from RNAcentral. Lineage: Eukaryota; Metazoa; Arthropoda; Arachnida; Scorpiones; Buthidae.